UAAAUUAAGUUGAAUCUGAUCCAUCCUUCUCCUCUCCCACCUGAACAAAGCUAAAUACUUUCCUAUUUCAGACAGCUACUGAUCUUGUGGAUGUAGGAGGAAGUGCCUGGGAUCAUCCUUCAGCUUCUCAAAAUGAGAUUCAGGGCAAUCUGGGUACUGAGCAAGUCACCCAAAGUCAGAUUUGAAAAGUGAGACUGUCUUGGACAGUACCUAGGAGUGCCACAACCACCAAAAUACAGCACA
This 243-nucleotide long non-coding RNA is filed under the name Numida meleagris (helmeted guineafowl). RNAcentral's name for it is "lncRNA (ENSNMEG00000017865.1)". Lineage: Eukaryota; Metazoa; Chordata; Aves; Galliformes; Numididae. The record is from RNAcentral.